RNAcentral lists this ribosomal RNA (316 nucleotides) under uncultured bacterium. RNAcentral describes it as "bacterial SSU rRNA". It matches the Rfam family "Bacterial small subunit ribosomal RNA", at positions 32 to 335 of the family's 1533-position model. The record is from RNAcentral.
AAUCAACGCUGGCGGCGUGCCUCAGACAUGCAAGUCGAACGAUUAAAGCUCUCUUCGGAGAGUGUAUAGAGUGGCGCACGGGUGAGUAACACGUAAGUAAUCUACCCUCGAGUGGGGAAUAACAACCGGAAACGGUUGCUAAUACCGCAUAAUGCAGCGGCACCGCAAGGUGACAGUUGUUAAAGAUUUAUCGCUUGAGGAGGAGCUUGCGGCAGAUUAGCUAGUUGGUAGGGUAACGGCUUACCAAGGCUACGACUCUAGUAACCGGUACUAAGAGGACGGUCGGUCACACUGACACUAGAAGUAACGGGUCAGA